RNAcentral lists this long non-coding RNA (288 nucleotides) under Ananas comosus (pineapple). Its description in RNAcentral is "long non-coding RNA (ACOM_LNC017806)". Lineage: Eukaryota; Viridiplantae; Streptophyta; Magnoliopsida; Poales; Bromeliaceae. The record is from RNAcentral.
ACUUGAUCUAGGGUAUUUGAAGUCUCUAGAAAAUAAUUUUUGCGAUUUUUCGAUAUCAUUUACCUAGUGAUCGAAAGGAUUCAAAAUUAAUAAUUUUUAAUGGUUGAUAUCUGCCGUUUUCAAGUUUAACGGUGUAGAAGUAUUCAAAUCAGAUAAAAUUUUGAUACAAAAUUCUUUAUACUGUCUACAACAAGAUCAAUAUUUAUGAUCGAAAAUUUUAGUACUAUAUCACCACUUUUUAUAGGAUUUUUAUUUUCAGCCGUUAAAAAUUAUUGAUUUUGAAUCCUU